Molecule: ribosomal RNA, 424 nt
Filed under: uncultured bacterium
Lineage: Bacteria
Description: bacterial SSU rRNA
Rfam family: Bacterial small subunit ribosomal RNA
Source: RNAcentral
UAACGAAUCUUCCCCAAUGCACGAAAGCGUGAGGGAGCGACGCCGCGUGUAGGACGAAGUCCUUCGGGAUGUAAACUACUGUCAGGGGUUACCAAGUUCUGAGGAGCCCCAGAGGAAGAGGCGGCUAACUCUGUGCCAGCAGCCGCGGUAAGACAGAGGCCUCGAGCGUUAGGCGGAAUCACUGGGCUUAAAGCGCGUGUAGGCGGAUCGUUAAGUACCUUGUGAAAUCCCACGGCUCAACCGUGGAACUGCUGAGCAUACUGGCGAUCUUGGGCCAUUCAGGGGUUGCCGGAACAAGCGGUGGAGCGGUGAAAUGCGUAGAUAUCGCUUGGAACGCCAAAGGUGAAGACAGGCAACUGGGGAUGUGCCGACGCUGAGACGCGAAAGCCAGGGGAGCAAACGGGAUUAGAUACCCCCGUAGUCC